Molecule: ribosomal RNA, 517 nt
Filed under: Nectria sp. D17b
Lineage: Eukaryota; Fungi; Ascomycota; Sordariomycetes; Hypocreales; Nectriaceae
Description: eukaryotic LSU rRNA
Rfam family: 5.8S ribosomal RNA (bases 128-281)
Source: RNAcentral
GUGACUUACCUAAACGUUGCUUCGGCGGGAAUAGACGGCCCCGUGAAAACGGUUCCGCCCCCGCCAGAGGACCCUUAACUCUGUUUCUUAUAGUGUAUCUUCUGAGUAAAACAAGCAAAUAAAUUAAAACUUUCAACAACGGAUCUCUUGGCUCUGGCAUCGAUGAAGAACGCAGCGAAAUGCGAUAAGUAAUGUGAAUUGCAGAAUUCAGUGAAUCAUCGAAUCUUUGAACGCACAUUGCGCCCGCCAGUAUUCUGGCGGGCAUGCCUGUUCGAGCGUCAUUACAACCCUCAGGCCCCCGGGCCUGGCGUUGGGGAUCGGCGGAGCGCCCCUCGUGGGCGCCACGCCGUCCCCCAAAUACAGUGGCGGUCCCGCCGCAGCUUCCAUCGCGUAGUAGCUAACACCUCGCGACUGGAGAGCGGCGCGGCCACGCCGUAAAACACCCAACUCUUCUGAAGUUGACCUCGAAUCAGGUAGGAAUACCCGCUGAACUUAAGCAUAUCAAUAAGCGGAGGAA